GACGAACGCUGGCGGCGUGCCUAAUACAUGCAAGUCGAACGAGAGCGACCGGUGCUUGCACUGGUCAAUCUAGUGGCGAACGGGUGAGUAACACGUGGGUAACCUGCCCAUCAGAGGGGGAUAACAUUCGGAAACGGAUGCUAAAACCGCAUAGGUCUUCGAACCGCAUGGUUUGAAGAGGAAAAGAGGCGCAAGCUUCUGCUGAUGGAUGGACCCGCGGUGCAUUAGCUAGUUGGUGAGGUAACGGCUCACCAAGGCCGUGAUGCAUAGCCGACCUGAGAGGGUGAUCGGCCACAUUGGGACUGAGACACGGCCCAAACUCCUACGGGAGGCAGCAGUAGGGAAUCUUCCGCAAUGGACGCAAGUCUGACGGAGCAACGCCGCGUGAGUGAAGAAGGUUUUCGGAUCGUAAAACUCUGUUGUUAGAGAAGAACAAGUGCUAGAGUAACUGUUAGCGCCUUGACGGUAUCUAACCAGAAAGCCACGGCUAACUACGUA
Molecule: ribosomal RNA, 498 nt
Filed under: uncultured bacterium
Lineage: Bacteria
Description: partial 16S ribosomal RNA
Rfam family: Bacterial small subunit ribosomal RNA
Source: RNAcentral